CUCCAGAGGUCCGAGACCUCUAAUUUUACACUUUUCUUUUGUUACAAUUUUUUUUCUCUUUCUCUUGUACUUAAGAAUUAUUUAAUCAAUGAAAUCGGAUUCCUCUUUACAGAGAGCUCCUUUUUCUUCUUCUACUUCUUUUUUCCUCUUUUUUUUUUCUUGCAAUGAUUUGCGUUGUGACGCUCUUGUUUCCUGACAAUAGUGCCCUAUUGAAGCUCUGCCCCUACUGUAGGAGAUUCU
Molecule: long non-coding RNA, 240 nt
Filed under: Elaeis guineensis (African oil palm)
Lineage: Eukaryota; Viridiplantae; Streptophyta; Magnoliopsida; Arecales; Arecaceae
Description: long non-coding RNA (EGUI_LNC001079)
Source: RNAcentral